This is a non-coding RNA of Phrynosoma platyrhinos (Desert horned lizard), 72 nucleotides long. The record is from the annotation of a GenBank genome assembly. Lineage: Eukaryota; Metazoa; Chordata; Lepidosauria; Squamata; Phrynosomatidae.
GCCAGAGAGGCAUAGUGGUUUGAGCGCUGGACUAUGAUUCUGGAAAGCAGGGUUCGAAUCCCUGCUCAGCCA